RNAcentral lists this long non-coding RNA (859 nucleotides) under Homo sapiens (human). Its description in RNAcentral is "LHRI_LNC1529.1". Lineage: Eukaryota; Metazoa; Chordata; Mammalia; Primates; Hominidae. The record is from RNAcentral.
ACACUCAGUAUUUGCUAGGAUCACCAGAGGGGUGCGGCUUGACUUUUAACAGAGGCUUUGGUUUUAUGAUAGACAUGAAAACUGUCAUUCAACAGACAAGAAGAGACGUGUGUGUAAGAUUAAAGGCUGAGUAGCUUUAGGACAAGUUCACACACACAGUGACACAGUCUUCAGAGAUACAGCUUUAAUAAUUAGAGACUUGAAAGCAGGUAGAACAAAACACUCAUGAGACUCAUUCCAUCGUCAAGAAAUUUAAUAUGGCACCAGGAGAUUUGCAUAAUUGACCUAUUUGGCUUUCUGCAUCAAGUUUGGUGUCCUGUUGCAGAAGCUGAGCAUUGACGGGACAGAGGCAUAAACUGCAGCGCUUGAUAAAAUAGAGCCCAGUAUUCUGAGGUUAGUGAAGAAAACACAAAGACUUGACAGAUGCACUCCCAGAUCGCAUCUCACAGUCAUUCAAGGUUUAGGGCAAGGCAUUUCCAUGUGGAGUCUCACCUUUUCUUGUCCCAGUCAUGCAUCUUGGAGUUCCUUGGCUAAGUCUGCAGGGAGGAGAAGCAGCAGGCUUGAUUUGCAUCAAUAAAAGCAGCGAUCUGUGCUGGCCAUGCUAACCCUGUUGGCUAUUAGGGGGUGGGGGCACUCUGUCAAGGGGAGUCACUGGGACGGUGUAGGAUCAGCCUUCAGAGCCUGCUGCCUGACCGUAGAGGAGGAACCUGCACACACCCUGCUGUUUUAGUUCACGAGCAGCUAUCAAAGCCUGUUAGCCAUCCUGGUUACCUGCUUGUGCCAGACAGAACUUACUGUCCCAGGUAAGCACCUAAUUUUUUAAGUCUUAGUUCCUGUCACAGGCCCACUUGGGUUCCAG